Molecule: long non-coding RNA, 325 nt
Organism: Magallana angulata
Lineage: Eukaryota; Metazoa; Mollusca; Bivalvia; Ostreida; Ostreidae
Exons: 3
Source: RefSeq, a predicted model, not a curated record
GUGACGGAUCUAUGUGAACACAAUGGUAUUUGUAUCAAUAACAACGGUUCUUACGUGUGUAAUUGUUCAGAAGGAUGGCAGGGAAAACAUUGUGAAGAUGAUGUGGACGAAUGCCAACUGACAGAACUGUGUAAACACAAUGGAACCUGCAUCAACAACAAUGGAUCUUAUGUCUGUGAUUGUAAAGAUGGUUGGCAGGGACAACAUUGUGAAGAUGAUGUGGAUGAAUGUCAACGGACAGAACUGUGUAAACACAAUGGAACGUGUAUCAACAAUAAUGGAUCUUAUGUCUGUGAUUGUAAAGAUGGUUGGCAGGGACAACAUU